Molecule: long non-coding RNA, 717 nt
Organism: Scophthalmus maximus (turbot)
Lineage: Eukaryota; Metazoa; Chordata; Actinopteri; Pleuronectiformes; Scophthalmidae
Exons: 4
Source: RefSeq, a predicted model, not a curated record
CCGAGAAAUGACAACAAUCCUCCGGUGUUGUGUCGAACCGACGAGACUCUACCAACAGAUAACAGAAACAUCGCUGCAGCAAGACCGGCUCAAUCGAUCGAUCCAUCGAUCGAUCCAUCCAUCGAUCGAUCAAGGAGUAAGGAAUGUAAUACUACACUUCAGAUGGUCAUCUGACACCCCAGUGAGCCACCACAGCACAGUGUCACUGAAAAGUGUUCUGUCAUUGUGGUCACACAUGGCAACACUGACUGCACGGGAACAGCAGAGCUGCUGGGCUUCAAGACAAACUAGUGUAGAGAAGAAAUAAAGUGGAGCAAUGCUGUGACUAAUUCUUUAUCCACUGCGCAAAAUGGCUGAGUGGAUAGUUUGUUGCUGUGGCUCCUCGGAGAAAAACAGGACAGCAGCUGGAUGACUGUACCAGUGCAAAGGGCAGAAAGUGUGGACAGUUUCUGGUGAUGACACAUCAUCACCCAGCAAAACUCCCCCCUAACUCCUCCGAGCGGCAUGGAUUGAAGAGAUGCCCUCAUUGUUUGUGUUGCUCUGCAGUUUGUUAUAAUGACGACUUGUCUGAAAACUCCUUUCUGGGAAGCCGGACAAUGUCUGAAACCUGACAAGUGCAGCCGUAGCUCAGAAGUGACCAACAUAAUGUUUGUACCAUGAAAAACUGAUAUGGUAAUGUUGUAAUCCAAUUAAUUAAAUAUAUGUUUUCUGAAGUCA